UCAGGUGGCUAUGGCUCCGGUGUCCCACCUCUUCCCAUUCCGCACAGAGAAGUUAAGCCCGGACGCGCCGAUGGUACUGCCCAACCCGCGGGAGAGUAGGUCGCCGCCUUUU
Molecule: ribosomal RNA, 112 nt
Filed under: Candidatus Caccomonas pullistercoris
Lineage: Bacteria; Pseudomonadati; Bacteroidota; Bacteroidia; Bacteroidales; Prevotellaceae
Source: RNAcentral